RNAcentral lists this ribosomal RNA (436 nucleotides) under uncultured bacterium. RNAcentral describes it as "bacterial SSU rRNA". It matches the Rfam family "Bacterial small subunit ribosomal RNA", at positions 355 to 786 of the family's 1533-position model. The record is from RNAcentral.
UGAGGAAUAUUGGUCAAUGGGCGAGAGCCUGAACCAGCCAAGUCGCGUGAGGGAAGACGGUCCUACGGAUUGUAAACCUCUUUUGUCGGGGAGCAAUAAAGCGUACGCGUACGCAGAUGCGAGUACCCGAAGAAAAAUGCAUCGGCUAACUCCGUGCCAGCAGCCGCGGUAAUACGGAGGAUGCGAGCGUUAUCCGGAUUUAUUGGGUUUAAAGGGUGCGCAGGCGGAAAGUGCAAGUCAGCGGUCAAACGACGGGGCUCAACCCCGUCUCGCCGUUGAAACUGUCUUUCUAGAGUGAGCGAGAAGUAUGCGGAAUGCGUGGUGUAGCGGUGAAACUGCAUAGAUAUCACGCAGAACUCCGAUUGCGAAGGCAGCAUACCGGCGCUCAACUGACGCUCAUGCACGAAAGCGUGGGUAUCGAACAGGAUUAGAUACC